Nicotiana tabacum (common tobacco) is the source of this 2475-nucleotide long non-coding RNA. RefSeq lists it as uncharacterized. The record is from RefSeq and is a predicted model, not a curated record. Lineage: Eukaryota; Viridiplantae; Streptophyta; Magnoliopsida; Solanales; Solanaceae.
UUACAUAUAUUAAUUUUUUAAAAAAUAUUAAUAUAAAUAGAUUUAAAAUUAUGCUAUUUACUGUGAUUUAUACUCUAGUUGAUAAGAGACCAACACGAACACAACUUUUAUUUUUCUUCAAAAUGUAUUUAUUAGAGGAAAAAUGCUACUAUAUAGCCGCUUUCAAUAAAUAGCCGAAAAAAUAUAUUUUUUUGUAUAUCUUUUGUAUAUAUGUACAUUCUGUAUGUUAUAUACAAAAUUAUACAAAUUUUAUAUACUUUUUUUGUUAUCAAAUAUAAAUAGUUUCUGGCACGAGCUAAAAAAAGCCCUAUUCUAUAUGUUAAUUAGAUGAUAAAUGCUUUUAACUUGUGAAUCACAUUGUAUAGUUAACUGUUCAUUCAGGGGAAGUUCUUUUUAAAGCAGUUGAAGGCUAUUUUGUAUUGUUUUUCUUAUCCAAUUGCUCCUAGAGCGAGCUAACUCUAAAAAAUUCGUCCAACCGUUCAAAUUUCAGGCUGCAAUUUGCUCGCAUAAAGUCAAUUUAAAUAAAUAUAAAAUUAAAAUUUAAUUAUUCAACCAUGAAUAAAUGCAAACAAAUAUGUGUAUAGAAUAUAUGGUAUAUAUAUAUGUGAGCAUGUGUGGCUCUGUGUAUGUGUUUUAGAAUUCUUGUGUAGAGCUGAUGAAAAUAAGUGGUAUUUUAAUGUUUCAACAUUAUCUUAUAUUAGGACACGUAGAAUUUGGCAUUUUCAGGUGAAAAGUGGAAGCAUCUGUUUUGGAUUCAAGUGCAAAUCUCCACUGUCUCCAGCUCACUCGAGGAAAAACUUGUCUACAACAUAUCCAUUGCAUGCAUGCUGCUCUCAAUUGUUAUUUAUUUACUCUCUGAAGUUUCCAAAUAUUUUUGUUUUAUUUAUAAAAAGAAUUUUUAACGGUUUUAGCUUUUAAGAACUUUCUUUGCGUUGAAAAUAUUCCUAUUUCAAUUUAAACCGUAUCUUGUGAUAAGGAGCAGGAGGAUUGUCUGGCAUACAACUGUUUUUAAUGAUUUUUCUAGAAACAUUUUCAAAUCCUGCUCUUUUUUUUUUUUUUUUUUUUUUUUUUUUUUUUUUUUUUUUUUUUUUUUCUCUUUCCUCUCUAUCAUCUUCUCGUCGUUCCUAAUUAAAACAAAAAUUUCCUUUUAAUUUCAUACAAAUUAACAAAUAUGGUAUUGAUGAAAUUUUGAUGUAUAAAGUGGGAUCAGAACAAGUUGAAAGCAUUUAUUAUUAAGCAAUUUAAUUUGAUAUGAUGUAAAUAUUUUGAGAUGUAAUGAUAGUUGUAAUGAUUAACAAUAUGUUCAAUAGUUUUUUUUUCCUUAAACAGAGAAUCAAAUUAAUUGGAAAACAGUGACCAGAAGACAGUGCGCUGGAAGUUGACCACUUCUGCCCCUUAGGAACUUGGUGAUUUUUUUUUAUCUUUUAGAAAUGUUUUCUAAAAUUGUUUAUUAGGUGGUGUUUGCUGCAUUAAUUGAAAAUUAAUUUUUUCGACAAAAUAAAUAUAUUUGAAUUUGAUCUUCGCAAACAAUCAAAAACUGCGCCAAAAUCUAUAAAAACGUGAGCCGUCAGAUAGACACGUGGCUAACUAAAGGACCAGAAUUGAAAGGCAUACGGUAAACCCGCGGAGCAGGAAACUAAUCCACCUCUCUCCGAAUUUCCGAAGCCCCCUUCGCUGAAAAUUGAAAAUCAGAAAAAAGUAAAAUUGGAGGAGAGGCUUAGCGGUAGGGACAGAGAAGAUCAGAGACGUAUGAAAAAGGCAGAGAGUUACGGCUAAUUUUUUGAAUCAAUUUUCACUUCCCUUCGACAAGAUAUGUUGUUCAUCGACAAGUGCUGGUGCAGGUCUAACUUUUUUACCUAGAGCUAGACUAAGAAGGCUGGCAAUGGAUAGGCGCUUUUUCUCUGAGUUAACUGUUGCUCGGUGGAGAACACCUUUGUAUCGGCCAUUGCUCAAUACUUCCAUGUGAUCUCCCAGCUGAACAAUGAGGGCUCCUUCAAUGACAGGAACUGAAUGCCACUUUCCAUCAUGAUCCAUGAUUUGCAAGCCCUGAUGAUUUUGAAGAAUGAUCGUUAGCAAAGCAUAAUCUGUGUGUGGUGGCAAGCCUAGUGUAAGAUCUGGCUCAGGACAUGCUGGAUAGCAAUUAAUGGCCAUGACCUGGGAGCCUUCUGCAAUGUCUUCAUGUGACAUGACACGAGAGAAGUACCUGGAAGAAACCUAGUUCCUUGCAAGCCAGGUGUACUUCCUCGAUUAUCCGAGGCCGAUGAAGAGGGUGUCGCAGAAAGGAUAGAUCUACAAUUGGCAGGCAUGUGUUAGACCGGGUUCCAUCGGGGCGUAAGGAUGGCGGAAGAAUGUAACGUUUGGGAACUUUGGUUAGACCGUCUUCAGCCGAGAAAUGUCAGAUGACGGUAAUUGUUGGUUUCACAAGUUGAUCCAGAAUGUGGGGAAAAGAAAUCCAGAAUGUAAUUGAAUACAGAG